AUUGAACGCUGGCGGAAUGCUUUACACAUGCAAGUCGAACGGUAGAGGGGGCAACCCCUCGAGAGUGGCGAACGGGUGAGUAAUAUAUCGGAACGUGCCCAGUCGUGGGGGAUAACGUAGCGAAAGUUACGCUAAUACCGCAUACGAUCUACGGAUGAAAGCGGGGGAUCGCAAGACCUCGCGCGAUUGGAGCGGCCGAUAUCAGAUUAGGUAGUUGGUGGGGUAAAGGCUCACCAAGCCAACGAUCUGUAGCUGGUCUGAGAGGACGACCAGCCACACUGGAACUGAGACACGGUCCAGACUCCUACGGGAGGCAGCAGUGGGGAAUUUUGGGACAAUGGACGCAAGUCUGAUCCAGCCAUUCCGCGUGCAGGAUGAAGGCCCUCGGGUUGUAAACUGCUUUUGUACGGAACGAAAAGGUUUCUAUUAAUACUAGGAGCUCAUGACGGUACCGUAAGAAUAAGCACCGGCUAACUACGUG
Molecule: ribosomal RNA, 481 nt
Filed under: uncultured bacterium
Lineage: Bacteria
Description: bacterial SSU rRNA
Rfam family: Bacterial small subunit ribosomal RNA
Source: RNAcentral